UGGGGGCUCGGGACGUGCCAACCAGAAUCGCAACCGGAAUUGCGAAACAUGUCGCCGACCAGUCUCCCGUUUGCCACGCUUAGACUUAUGGGCUUAGCACGCCACAUGCUGCACGAGUACCAGCCUGGGCUCGAUUUGAGUAACACGCAUACCCUACCGCUACCAGCCUCAGCAGCAUGGUUCGAUGCCUAGCCCCCGCACGUCCUUGCACGCUCGUGCAGUUAGGGUUAACCUAUCCGCUCAACAUGGCGUGGGCACGUGGACAACACCAGGUACUGCUCGGCAGCGCGAGGGAGGGGCCCCCACGCCUUAGGCCGACACACUGGCUGUGCGGCCUACUACCGGCACGUCAAACCACGAUGGCGUCUUGCAUUUGCAUUCACACUAGCUUACAUUUCUCGAAACCACAAUCCAUGCACAUGCUCAAGGCAUGGGCGAGGGCUGGGGUGAGGUGUGGCCGGACCUGUUUACGGGGGUGUGAUGGGGGUCAUACGGAGGCAGACUAGGCCAGGUGCAUUUCAACUCCAACCCUUCCGGCCCCGCCAAGCCCCAUCCCAACCCCACCCUGUCGCCUGUCGGCCCGACCAACCGCGCGCCAUCGGCCGUCGGCAGCUGUCAGCGCCGACCGGAAGGCGCUCGCGCGUGCCGCGAAGAGAAUGGCGGCGACCGGGAGGCACGUGGAGCUGCGGUUCAUCUGUGAGCACCGCACCACGCUGUGCUGCUACGCGUGUGGGGCGUGUCGUGUUUGCACCGGCUUUCCCCCCGAAUUUUGUGGCCCAGCGUACUACGCAACGUAUUUUAACGUACUGUACUAGGAAUCCUAGUACGCUGCAUUAAUACGCGUAUUAUGGAGAGAGGGUCGCGUACUCGGCAACCUGGGCACCACCUGUGCCGCAGCGGCCGCGUCCAUGAGUGCCUGGAUGCGCAGCGGUACCGGGACUGGGAAGGAGGGGCGCGCGCAAUAUGCCAGGACACACCAGUUUCGGCCUCUCCAUCGUUAUACUUGUAAGAAAC
RNAcentral lists this long non-coding RNA (1014 nucleotides) under Chlamydomonas reinhardtii. RNAcentral describes it as "long non-coding RNA (CREI_LNC000788)". The record is from RNAcentral. Lineage: Eukaryota; Viridiplantae; Chlorophyta; Chlorophyceae; Chlamydomonadales; Chlamydomonadaceae.